RNAcentral lists this ribosomal RNA (538 nucleotides) under uncultured bacterium. Its description in RNAcentral is "bacterial SSU rRNA". It matches the Rfam family "Bacterial small subunit ribosomal RNA", at positions 777 to 1315 of the family's 1533-position model. The record is from RNAcentral.
AAUAGAUACCCAGGUAGUCCACCCCGUAAACGUUGGGAACUAGUUGUGGGGUCCAUUCCACGGAUUCCGUGACGCAGCUAACGCAUUAAGUUCCCCGCCUGGGGAGUACGGCCGCAAGGCUAAAACUCAAAGGAAUUGACGAGGACCCGCACAAGCGGCGGAGCAUGCGGAUUAAUUCGAUGCAACGCGAAGAACCUUACCAAGGCUUGACAUAUAGAGGAAACGGCUGGAAACAGUCGCCCCGCAAGGUCUCUAUACAGGUGGUGCAUGGUUGUCGUCAGCUCGUAUCGUGAGAUGUUGGGUUAAGUCCCGCAACGAGCGCAACCCUCGUUCUAUGUUGCCAGCACGUAAUGGUGGGAACUCAUGGGAUACUGCCGGGGUCAACUCGGAGGAAGGUGGGGAUGACGUCAAAUCAUCAUGCCCCUUAUGUCUUGGGCUUCACGCAUGCUACAAUGGCCGGUACAAAGGGCUGCAAUACCGUAAGGUGGAGCGAAUCCCAAAAAGCCGGUCCCAGUUCGGAUUGAGGUCUGCAACUCGA